RNAcentral lists this ribosomal RNA (1437 nucleotides) under uncultured organism. Its description in RNAcentral is "SSU rRNA". It matches the Rfam family "Bacterial small subunit ribosomal RNA". The record is from RNAcentral.
UUUGAUGAACGCUAGCUACAGGCUUAACACAUGCAAGUCGAGGGGCAGCAUCAUCAAAGCUUGCUUUGAUGGAUGGCGACCGGCGCACGGGUGAGUAACACGUAUCCAACCUGCCGACAACACUGGGAUAGCCUUUCGAAAGAAAGAUUAAUACCGGAUGGCAUAGUUUUCCCGCAUGGGAUAAUUAUUAAAGAAUUUCGGUUGUCGAUGGGGAUGCGUUCCAUUAGGCAGUUGGCGGGGUAACGGCCCACCAAACCAACGAUGGAUAGGGGUUCUGAGAGGAAGGUCCCCCACAUUGGAACUGAGACACGGUCCAAACUCCUACGGGAGGCAGCAGUGAGGAAUAUUGGUCAAUGGACGAGAGUCUGAACCAGCCAAGUAGCGUGAAGGAUGACUGCCCUAUGGGUUGUAAACUUCUUUUAUACGGGAAUAAAGUGAGCCACGUGUGGCUUUUUGUAUGUACCGUAUGAAUAAGGAUCGGCUAACUCCGUGCCAGCAGCCGCGGUAAUACGGAGGAUCCGAGCGUUAUCCGGAUUUAUUGGGUUUAAAGGGAGCGUAGGCGGGUUGUUAAGUCAGUUGUGAAAGUUUGCGGCUCAACCGUAAAAUUGCAGUUGAUACUGGCGACCUUGAGUGCAACAGAGGUAGGCGGAAUUCGUGGUGUAGCGGUGAAAUGCUUGGAUAUCACGAAGAACUCCGAUUGCGAAGGCAGCUUACUGGAUUGUAACUGACGCUGAUGCUCGAAAGUGUGGGUAUCAAACAGGAUUAGAUACCCUGGUAGUCCACACAGUAAACGAUGAAUACUCGCUGUUGGCGAUAUACAGUCAGCGGCCAAGCGAAAGCAUUAAGUAUUCCACCUGGGGAGUACGCCGGCAACGGUGAAACUCAAAGGAAUUGACGGGGGCCCGCACAAGCGGAGGAACAUGUGGUUUAAUUCGAUGAUACGCGAGGAACCUUACCCGGGCUUAAAUUGCAACUGACUGAACCGGAAACGGUUCUUUCUUCGGACAGUUGUGAAGGUGCUGCAUGGUUGUCGUCAGCUCGUGCCGUGAGGUGUCGGCUUAAGUGCCAUAACGAGCGCAACCCUUACGGGUAGUUACCAUCAGGUUAUGCUGGGGACUCUACCCGGACUGCCGUCGUAAGAUGUGAGGAAGGUGGGGAUGACGUCAAAUCAGCACGGCCCUUACGUCCGGGGCUACACACGUGUUACAAUGGGGGGUACAGAAGGCAGCUACACGGCGACGUGGUGCUAAUCCCGAAAGCCUCUCUCAGUUCGGAUUGGAGUCUGCAACCCGACUCCAUGAAGCUGGAUUCGCUAGUAAUCGCGCAUCAGCCACGGCGCGGUGAAUACGUUCCCGGGCCUUGUACACACCGCCCGUCAAGCCAUGAAAGCCGGGGGUACCUGAAGUACGUAACCGCGAGGAGCGUCCUAGGGUAAAA